CAGUAGCCGCGGGAAUACGAAGGGUGCAAGCGUUAAUCGGAAUUACUGGGCGUAAAGCGUGCGCAGGCGGUUGUGUAAGACAGGUGUGAAAUCCUCGGGCUUAACCUGGGAACUGCGCUUGUGACUGCACAGCUAGAGUAUGGCAGAGGGGGGUGGAAUUCCACGUGUAGCAGUGAAAUGCGUAGAUAUGCGGAGGAACACCGAUGGCGAAGGCAGCCCCCUGGGCCAACACUGACGCUCAUGCACGAAAGCGUGGGGAGCAAACAGGAUUAGAUACCCCUGUAGUCCCUGUCUCUUAUAC
Molecule: ribosomal RNA, 301 nt
Filed under: uncultured bacterium
Lineage: Bacteria
Description: partial 16S ribosomal RNA
Rfam family: Bacterial small subunit ribosomal RNA
Source: RNAcentral